Molecule: ribosomal RNA, 512 nt
Filed under: uncultured Flavobacteriia bacterium
Lineage: Bacteria; Pseudomonadati; Bacteroidota; Flavobacteriia
Description: bacterial SSU rRNA
Rfam family: Bacterial small subunit ribosomal RNA
Source: RNAcentral
UCCAAGCGUUAUCCGGAUUUAUUGGGUUUAAAGGGUCCGUAGGCGGGUCUUUAAGUCAGUGGUGAAAGCCUGCAGCUUAACUGUAGAAUUGCCAUUGAUACUGAAGACCUUGAGUGUAGUAGAAGUAGGCGGAAUAUGGCAUGUAGCGGUGAAAUGCAUAGAUAUGCCAUAGAACACCGAUUGCGAAGGCAGCUUACUAUGUUACAACUGACGCUGAGGGACGAAAGCGUGGGUAGCAAACAGGAUUAGAUACCCUGGUAGUCCACGCCGUAAACGAUGAUUACUCGCUGUUAGCGAUAUACAGUUAGCGGCCAAGCGAAAGCAUUAAGUAAUCCACCUGGGGAGUACGCCGGCAACGGUGAAACUCAAAGGAAUUGACGGGGGCCCGCACAAGCGGUGGAGCAUGUGGUUUAAUUCGAUGAUACGCGAGGAACCUUACCAGGGUUUAAAUGGAAAUUGACAGACGCCGAAAGGUGUCUUUCUUCGGACAAUUUUCAAGGUGCUGCAUGGUU